Molecule: ribosomal RNA, 393 nt
Filed under: uncultured bacterium
Lineage: Bacteria
Description: partial 16S ribosomal RNA
Rfam family: Bacterial small subunit ribosomal RNA
Source: RNAcentral
AUACGGAGGACGCGAGCGUUAUCCGGAUUCAUUGGGUUUAAAGGGUGCGUAGGCGGCCGUGCAAGUCAGCGGUGAAAGCCCGGGGCUCAACCCCGGAAGUGCCGUUGAUACUGCGUGGCUGGAAUGCGGUCGAGGCGGGCGGAACGUGGCGGGUAGCGGUGAAAUGCGUAGAUAUGCCACAGAACGCCGAUAGCGGAGGCAGCUCGCCAGGCCUGCAUUGACGCUCGGGCACGAAAGCGUGGGGAUCGAACAGGAUUAGAUACCCUGGUAGUCCACGCCGUAAACGAUGGGCGCUCGUCGUCGGCGGCAGACAGUCGGCGGCCAAGCGAAAGCGAUAAGCGCCCCACCUGGGGAGUACGGUCGCAAGGCUGAAACUCAAAGGAAUUGGCGGGG